UAGAGUUUGAUCCUGGCUCAGAUUGAACGCUGGCGGCAGGCCUAACACAUGCAAGUCGAGCGGUAGAGAGAAGCUUGCUUCUCUUGAGAGCGGCGGACGGGUGAGUAAUGCCUAGGAAUCUGCCUGGUAGUGGGGGAUAACGUUCGGAAACGGACGCUAAUACCGCAUACGUCCUACGGGAGAAAGCAGGGGACCUUCGGGCCUUGCGCUAUCAGAUGAGCCUAGGUCGGAUUAGCUAGUUGGUGAGGUAAUGGCUCACCAAGGCGACGAUCCGUAACUGGUCUGAGAGGAUGAUCAGUCACACUGGAACUGAGACACGGUCCAGACUCCUACGGGAGGCAGCAGUGGGGAAUAUUGGACAAUGGGCGAAAGCCUGAUCCAGCCAUGCCGCGUGUGUGAAGAAGGUCUUCGGAUUGUAAAGCACUUUAAGUUGGGAGGAAGGAUUGUAGAUUAAUACUCUGCAAUUUUGACGUUACCGACAGAAUAAGCACCGGCUAACUCUGUGCCAGC
RNAcentral lists this ribosomal RNA (510 nucleotides) under uncultured Pseudomonas sp. RNAcentral describes it as "bacterial SSU rRNA". It matches the Rfam family "Bacterial small subunit ribosomal RNA", at positions 1 to 512 of the family's 1533-position model. Lineage: Bacteria; Pseudomonadati; Pseudomonadota; Gammaproteobacteria; Pseudomonadales; Pseudomonadaceae. The record is from RNAcentral.